RNAcentral lists this ribosomal RNA (249 nucleotides) under uncultured bacterium. RNAcentral's name for it is "partial 16S ribosomal RNA". It matches the Rfam family "Bacterial small subunit ribosomal RNA", at positions 1250 to 1500 of the family's 1533-position model. The record is from RNAcentral.
CAAGCUCGCGAGAGUAAGCUAAUCUCUUAAAGCGUCUCAGUUCGGACUGUAGGCUGCAACUCGCCUACACGAAGUCGGAAUCGCUAGUAAUCGCGGAUCAGCAUGCCGCGGUGAAUACGUUCCCGGGCCUUGUACACACCGCCCGUCACACCAUGGAGUUUGUAACGCCCAGAGUCGGUGGCCUAACCUUUAUGGAGGGAGCCGCCUAAGGCGGGACAGAUGACUGGGGUGAAGUCGUAACAAGGUAUC